AACGCGAAGAACCUUACCUGGGCUCGAAAUGUAGAGGACGAAAUCAGAGAUGAUUUUUCCCGUAAGGGUCUUUACAUAGGUGCUGCAUGGCUGUCGUCAGCUCGUGCCGUGAGGUGUUUGGUUAAGUCCAGCAACGAGCGCAACCCUUAUCGUUAGUUGCCAGCGCGUAAAGGCGGGAACUCUAACGAGACUGCCUAGGUUAACUAGGAGGAAGGUGAGGAUGACGUCAAGUCCGCAUGGCCUUUAUGUCCAGGGCUACACACGUGCUACAAUGGUCGGUACAGAAGGCAGCGAAACCGCAAGGCGGAGCAAAUCCUGAAAAACCGAUCUCAGUUCAGAUUGUAGUCUGCAACUCGGCUACAUGAAGUUGGAAUUGCUAGUAAUGGCGUGUCAGCAACAACGCCGUGAAUACGUUCCCGGGCCUUGUA
Molecule: ribosomal RNA, 428 nt
Filed under: uncultured Chlamydiae bacterium
Lineage: Bacteria; Pseudomonadati; Chlamydiota; Chlamydiia
Description: bacterial SSU rRNA
Rfam family: Bacterial small subunit ribosomal RNA
Source: RNAcentral